AUCCCCAAGAACUCUUCUUCUUCAAGACUUCCAAAUCUCUCUUCCCUUUUAAAGCCUUUCCCUUCCCUCUUCAAGUGUUCAAACUCUUCUUCCCACUUGGAUUCGAGCAAAGGAGGAGAUUCAAAUCUAGGGUUUCGGCUAUUUGGACCUUUCUUCCUCCUUCAAGUUUCAAGAACUUGGGUUUCCGAUGCCUCCACGCCGAUCUCGACUUCCUAGGAGUCGAUCCCAUUCGCAGCCUAGCGAGGAAGAAGUUCCCGCAGCAUCCUCCCCUCCAGCAGCUUCCUUUUUUGGGGUCGAGUUCCCCGCGGGCAGCCUUCCUCCUCAUGCUAAU
Long non-coding RNA from Asparagus officinalis (garden asparagus), 331 nucleotides. RefSeq lists it as uncharacterized. Lineage: Eukaryota; Viridiplantae; Streptophyta; Magnoliopsida; Asparagales; Asparagaceae. The record is from RefSeq and is a predicted model, not a curated record. The transcript is spliced from 3 exons.